CCAAUAGCGUAUAUUAAAGUUGCUGCAGUUAAAAAGCUCGUAGUUGAAUUUCGGGACUAAUAUGUCGGUCGUGCCUCGGUACGUACUGGUAUUUUUGGUUUCUCCCUUCUGACGAACCUUGAUGUCAUUAAUUUGGUGUCUUGGGAAAUCAGGACUGUUACUUUGAAAAAAUUAGAGUGUUUAAAGCAGGCUCACGCUGGAAUACAUUAGCAUGGAAUAAUGAAAUAGGACGUUUGAUUCUAUUUUGUUGGUUUCUAGGAUUGACGUAAUGAUUAAUAGGGAUAGUUGGGGGCAUUAGUAUUCAAUUGUCAGAGGUGAAAUUCUUGGAUUUAUUGAAGACUAACUACUGCGAAAGCAUUUGCCAAGGAUGUUUUCAUUAAUCAAGAACGAAAGUUAGGGGAUCGAAGACGAUCAGAUACCGUCGUAGUCUUAACCAUAAACUAUGCCGACUAGGGAUCGGAUGAUGUUAAUUUUUUAAUGACUCAUUCGGCGCCUUACG
This 499-nucleotide unclassified non-coding RNA is filed under the name uncultured Glomus. RNAcentral describes it as "SSU rRNA". It matches the Rfam family "Eukaryotic small subunit ribosomal RNA", at positions 591 to 1092 of the family's 1831-position model. Lineage: Eukaryota; Fungi; Glomeromycota; Glomeromycetes; Glomerales; Glomeraceae. The record is from RNAcentral.